GAUGAACGCUAGCGGCAGGCUUAACACAUGCAAGUCGAGGGGUAUUGGUUUUCGGACCAAGAGACCGGCGCACGGGUGCGUAACGCGUAUGCAAUCUACCUUUUGCAGAGGGAUAGCCCAGAGAAAUUUGGAUUAAUACCUCAUAGUAUAGUACUUUGGCAUCAAGGAACUAUUAAAGUCACAACGGCAAAAGAUGAGCAUGCGUCCCAUUAGCUAGUUGGUAAGGUAACGGCUUACCAAGGCUACGAUGGGUAGGGGUCCUGAGAGGGAGAUCCCCCACACUGGUACUGAGACACGGACCAGACUCCUACGGGAGGCAGCAGUGAGGAAUAUUGGACAAUGGGCGCAAGCCUGAUCCAGCCAUGCCGCGUGCAGGAUGACGGUCCUAUGGAUUGUAAACUGCUUUUACACAGGAAGAAACAACGCUACGUGUAGCGUCUUGACGGUACUGUGAGAAUAAGGAUCGGCUAACUCCGUGCCAGCAGCCG
RNAcentral lists this ribosomal RNA (488 nucleotides) under uncultured bacterium. RNAcentral's name for it is "bacterial SSU rRNA". It matches the Rfam family "Bacterial small subunit ribosomal RNA", at positions 28 to 517 of the family's 1533-position model. The record is from RNAcentral.